AGUGAACGCUGGCGGUAGGCCUAACACAUGCAAGUCGAACGGCAGCACAGUAAGAGCUUGCUCUUACGGGUGGCGAGUGGCGGACGGGUGAGGAAUACAUCGGAAUCUACUUUUUCGUGGGGGAUAACGUAGGGAAACUUACGCUAAUACCGCAUACGACCUACGGGUGAAAGCAGGGGAUCUUCGGACCUUGCGCGAUUGAAUGAGCCGAUGUCGGAUUAGCUAGUUGGCGGGGUAAAGGCCCACCAAGGCGACGAUCCGUAGCUGGUCUGAGAGGAUGAUCAGCCACAAUGGAACUGAGACACGGUCCAGACUCCUACGGGAGGCAGCAGUGGGGAAUAUUGGACAAUGGGCGCAAGCCUGAUCCAGCCCUACCGCGUGGGUGAAGAAGGCCUUCGGGUUGUAAAGCCCUUUUGUUGGGAAAGAAAAGCAGCAGGUUAAUACCCCGCUGUUCUGACGGUACCCAAAGAAUAAGCACCGGCUAACUUCGUG
This 492-nucleotide ribosomal RNA is filed under the name uncultured bacterium. RNAcentral describes it as "partial 16S ribosomal RNA". It matches the Rfam family "Bacterial small subunit ribosomal RNA", at positions 29 to 507 of the family's 1533-position model. The record is from RNAcentral.